UACGUAGGGUGCAAGCGUUGUCCGGAAUUAUUGGGCGUAAAGAGCUCGUAGGCGGUUUGUCGCGUCGAAUGUGAAAACCCGGGGCUCAACCCCGGGCCUGCAUUCGAUACGGGCAGACUAGGGUUCGGUAGGGGAGUCUGGAAUUCCUGGUGUAGCGGUGAAAUGCGCAGAUAUCAGGAGGAACACCGGUGGCGAAGGCGGGACUCUGGGCCGAUACUGACGCUGAGGAGCGAAAGCGUGGGGAGCGAACAGG
This 253-nucleotide ribosomal RNA is filed under the name uncultured bacterium. RNAcentral's name for it is "partial 16S ribosomal RNA". It matches the Rfam family "Bacterial small subunit ribosomal RNA", at positions 524 to 776 of the family's 1533-position model. The record is from RNAcentral.